UACGGGGGGGGCAAGCGUUGUUCGGAAUUACUGGGCGUAAAGGGUCUGUAGGUGGCCAAUUAAGUCAGACGUGAAAUCCCUCAGCUUAACUGGGGAACUGCGUCUGAGACUGGAUGGCUCGAGUGCGGGAGAGGAAUGCGGAAUUCCAGGUGUAGCGGUGAAAUGCGUAGAUAUCUGGAGGAACACCGGUGGCGAAGGCGGCAUUCUGGACUGCAACUGACACUGAAAGACGAAAGCCAGGGGAGCAAACGGG
This 253-nucleotide ribosomal RNA is filed under the name uncultured bacterium. RNAcentral describes it as "partial 16S ribosomal RNA". It matches the Rfam family "Bacterial small subunit ribosomal RNA", at positions 524 to 776 of the family's 1533-position model. The record is from RNAcentral.